Molecule: long non-coding RNA, 2572 nt
Organism: Myotis lucifugus (little brown bat)
Lineage: Eukaryota; Metazoa; Chordata; Mammalia; Chiroptera; Vespertilionidae
Exons: 4
Source: RefSeq, a predicted model, not a curated record
CUAAUUGGGUCUCCAGGAAGAUUUGGUCCGUGACCCACUAAUUGGAGUCCCUUGGCCUAAUAGGAAUAUCUCAGUCUCUUUAUAUUUUAGAACUUACUAGUAGAAAUGUACACAUGAGUCACUGGAGAUCUUAUUAAAAUGCAAAUUCUGAUUCAGUGGGUUUGGGGUGGGGCCUGAAUAUUCUGCCUGUCUCUCAGACGCCCAGGUGCUGCUGCUGCUGCUGCUGGUCUGAGCCACACCUUGAGUAGCAAAGUAGUAGGGGAUGAUAUGGGGCCAACUGCUAUCCCAUGUGACACAUGUGGAAACUGAACUAAACAGAGCUGAGCUGUUAGGUAACAGAGCAGGGAUUAGGUCUGAUUCUAACAGCUGUGUUCUCAGCUACGAUGUUGUACUGCCAACCUGGAGAAAGUGAUCUUGAAGGUCCCUUAGUUCAUUCUGUGGAGGGUGACUGAGAUCCUAAGGUUAUGGGAGAGGAGGGGGUCAUCAUCAGCAAGUGGGUUUUAUGGCAGAUGUAGGGGGGCCCUCCCCAUAUCUCUUCUAGUUUACCAUGUAAGUGCACACCAGCAGCUUUUCCAACAGCCACCCCUGUGUCUUUCUGCCUGAGGGCAUCACUUGCCACUGGCACCUGCUUUGCCACCCUGCAGCAGACCUGCAGUGCUGGGGGAUUAACGCAUCCAGGGCACAGCUCUCAAUCAGUGCCUGAUAAACAGCCCCACUCCCACUCCCCUCGCCCAGUAGGCAUGCUGCACUCUGGCUCUCAGGGCCCCCCAGCAGCACUGAGCUCCUCUUGUCCACCGUGGUCACUUGCUCAAUAACACCUCCUUUCCUGCCUCCCUUCCUCAUGCCCCUACCAGUGCUUCCUGGGACCACUUCCGAUGUAACCCACUUGCACUCAAAUUCUUGUCUUGGGGUCUGCUGUCGGAGAACCCAAACGAAAAUUGGCCUCUGGUAUAGCAGGUUGAGAGGUAGUAAAACAUGGUGGUUGGGGACAUAGGCUUUGUAGCCAAUGUCUGGGCUCAGCUCUGAUUCUGUUGUUUCCUAGGGCAAGUGAUUUAACUAUUCUGUACCUGUGUUUCAUCAUCUGUAAAGAAGGUGUUCUAUAGGGUGAUCUGGAGGAUUAAAUGUGACACAUAAAGUAAGCACUCGGUAAAUGUUUGCUGUUAUUUCUAAUAGUGUUCAAACAUAGAAGGAAGCGUGGUCCUGAGAACUGAGUAGACCCUGCUUUCAGCCUGUCCUGCCCGCCAGCUGAAGAUUCUUACUGUAAUGAGCAUGAAGAUGAACCACCCUAGAUAUCCUGAGCCUUAUCAGAGACAACACCCAACAUUCAGGCUCACGGAACACCAAGUGAAAGAAGAAAGACAAAGCUGAAGGACCAAAUGCAGGUCAGCAGGUGCCAGUGAGAAAAUGAGAAAAAGAAAGAAAAGCUGCUCACUCCACCGUGGCCGACCUCGAACGUGCUGGUGAGGCUGAAGAUCAUGAGACUAAUCGGAGGGCUUAUGACAUGGCAGGCACUGUGCCCAGCGCUUUUUGUACACCGUAUCUCGUUACUUCUGAGACUCCAUCGAAGAUGAGGUGCAACAUUAUUUUGAGCCCCUGAGAAAGGAAAAAGCUACUGAGCAAAAAUGGACAUCAUGUAGUCCCAAGUUUCUAGGGAAGGAAUUAUAACAAACAUCUUACAAGAAAAUACGUAAAUAUGUAUUAUAUGCAUGAAAAGGACUGGAGAGAAACAUCGCAAAAUACUACCCUGUUCUCUCUGAGGGGCAGAACUGGGAAAUUUAUAUCCAUUUCCUGUACACAUUUCUUUUGAGGAUUUCUACAGGCUCUGGAACAUUUCUGUUCAGAAAGGAAAACACAAACUGUGAGGGUCCAUUAUAUUGAGCUACAUUUAGAAACAAUCAACUUCUAAAGAUAAGUUUAUUUCUUGUAUAUGACCUGGAAUUCUUCCCGUCUGAAAACAGGUGCAGAAAUGGCUACCUCCAAGUGAGUUGCAUAAACAUAUUUCUUGAGGGUGUUUUUCUUCCCUCUCAGAUACUUGUUUUUAUUCAAGAUUGUUACAUGGUCAAUGAAAUGCUAACUUCUAUUCCAUUCUUUGCUGGAAGGAAGUGCUUAUUCAUUAUUUGGAAAGAAAAGGAAAGAACCCACAGCCGCCCAACUGGUUAAACUAACCACUUUCUGUUUUCAACAUCAUCUGCCAAAAAUAAUGUCUGGCAUUAUGAGGGGGAGAAAAACAAAUACAGUUGGAGAUUUGAGAAAAAUCAAUUCAUUUUAGCAUUAUGUUACUUUUAUGAAGGAAAAUAAAAAAAACCCAAAGAAGUGGUUGUGAAUCACAACCCCAGGUAUUAAAAUAUGAAAUGUUUGCUUAUCUUGGUUCCUGAAUUCUGCCUUAGCCAAAAGUUAGUUUUCCUGGAAGAUAUAUAAAGACCCUUGGAUUUCUAGAAAACUCUUUAGUGAAUGUGUCAUUAUCCUUAAAAGGACUCUGAUGGUUCUCUAAAUGUUACAGCUACUUCCCUAAAUUAGUUUUUAUUUUUGUGAGAACAUAGUUUAUACAUUAAAAAGAAGUGCUUUCAAAUUC